Molecule: non-coding RNA, 861 nt
Organism: Callorhinus ursinus (northern fur seal)
Lineage: Eukaryota; Metazoa; Chordata; Mammalia; Carnivora; Otariidae
Source: RefSeq, a predicted model, not a curated record
UCUUUUCCGGCUGGAACCAUGGAGGGUGCAGAAGAGAAGAAAAAGAAGGUUCCUGCUGUGCCAGAAACCCUUAAGAAGAAGCGAAGGAAUUUCGCAGAGUUGAAGAUCAAGCGUCUGAGGAAGAAGUUUGCUCAGAAGAUGCUUCAAAAGGCAAGAAGGAAGCUUAUCUAUGAAAAAGCUAAGCAUUACCACAAGGAAUAUAGGCAGAUGUACAGAACUGAGAUUCGAAUGGCAAGGAUGGCAAGAAAAGCUGGCAACUUAUACGUACCUGUGGAACCCAAAAUGGCAUUUGUCAUCAGGAUCAGAGGUAUCAAUGGUGUGAGCCCAAAGGUUCGAAAGGUGUUGCAGUUUCUUCGCCUUCACCAGAUCUUCAAUGGCACCUUUGUUAAGCUCAACAAGGCUUCAGUUAACAUGCUAAGGAUUGUGGAACCUUAUAUAGCAUGGGGGUAUCCAAAUCUGAAGUCGGUGAAUGAAUUGAUCUACAAGCGUGGUUAUGGCAAAAUCAACAAGAAGCGAAUUGCCCUGACAGAUAACACAUUGAUUGCCCGAUCUCUUGGUAAAUAUGGCAUCAUCUGCAUGGAGGAUCUGAUUCACGAGAUCUAUACUGUUGGAAAACGUUUCAAAGAAGCAAACAACUUUUUAUGGCCCUUCAAAUUAUCUGCUCCACGAGGGGGAAUGAAGAAAAAGACCACCCAUUUUGUAGAAGGUGGAGAUGCUGGUAACAGGGAAGACCAGAUCAAUAGGCUUAUUAGAAGGAUGAACUAAGGUAUCUGCAAUGAUUAUUUUUGUAAUCUGGCCAGUUAAUAAAUGACUACUCUCAUGGAAAAAAAAAAACAAAAAACAAAACAAAACAAAAAAACA